RNAcentral lists this ribosomal RNA (460 nucleotides) under uncultured bacterium. Its description in RNAcentral is "partial 16S ribosomal RNA". It matches the Rfam family "Bacterial small subunit ribosomal RNA", at positions 338 to 795 of the family's 1533-position model. The record is from RNAcentral.
CCUACGGGUGGCAGCAGUGAGGAAUAUUGGUCAAUGGACGAGAGUCUGAACCAGCCAAGUAGCGUGAAGGAUGACUGCCCUAUGGGUUGUAAACUUCUUUUAUAUGGGAAUAAAAUGUUCCACGUGUGGGAUUUUGUAUGUACCAUAUGAAUAAGGAUCGGCUAACUCCGUGCCAGCAGCCGCGGUAAUACGGAGGAUCCGAGCGUUAUCCGGAUUUAUUGGGUUUAAAGGGAGCGUAGGUGGAGUGUUAAGUCAGUUGUGAAAGUUUGCGGCUCAACCGUAAAAUUGCAGUUGAAACUGGCAGUCUUGAGUACAGUAGAGGUGGGCGGAAUGCGUGGUGUAGCGGUGAAAUGCUUAGAUAUCACGAAGAACUCCGAUUGCGAAGGCAGUUCACUGGACUGCAACUGAAACUGAGGCUCGAAAGUGUGGGUAUCAAACAGGAUUAGAUACCCCAGUAGUC